CAGCAGCCACGGUAAUACAGAGGGUGCGAGCGUUAAUCGGAUUUACUGGGCGUAAAGCGUGCGUAGGCGGCUUCUUAAGUCGGAUGUGAAAUCCCUGAGCUUAACUUAGGAAUUGCAUUCGAUACUGGGAAGCUAGAGUAUGGGAGAGGAUGGUAGAAUUCCAGGUGUAGCGGUGAAAUGCGUAGAGAUCUGGAGGAAUACCGAUGGCGAAGGCAGCCAUCUGGCCUAAUACUGACACUGAGAGACGAAAGCUAGGGGAGCAAAUGGGAUUAGAGACCCCCGUAGUCCCUGUCUUUAUACA
This 301-nucleotide ribosomal RNA is filed under the name uncultured bacterium. Its description in RNAcentral is "partial 16S ribosomal RNA". It matches the Rfam family "Bacterial small subunit ribosomal RNA", at positions 509 to 808 of the family's 1533-position model. The record is from RNAcentral.